UACGUAGGGUGCGAGCGUUAAUCGGAAUUACUGGGCGUAAAGCGUGCGCAGGCGGUUUUGUAAGCCAGAUGUGAAAUCCCCGGGCUCAACCUGGGAAUGGCAUUUGGGACUGCAAGGCUGGAGUGCGGCAGAGGAGACUGGAAUUCCUGGUGUAGCAGUGAAAUGCGUAGAUAUCAGGAGGAAUACCGAUGGCGAAGGCAGCCUCCUGGGCCAACACUGACGCUCAUGCACGAAAGCGUGGGGAGCAAACAGG
This 253-nucleotide ribosomal RNA is filed under the name uncultured bacterium. Its description in RNAcentral is "partial 16S ribosomal RNA". It matches the Rfam family "Bacterial small subunit ribosomal RNA", at positions 524 to 776 of the family's 1533-position model. The record is from RNAcentral.